Molecule: non-coding RNA, 106 nt
Organism: Gossypium hirsutum (cotton)
Lineage: Eukaryota; Viridiplantae; Streptophyta; Magnoliopsida; Malvales; Malvaceae
Source: Rfam
AUCCCAUGAUGAGGACACUUAUGAAGCAAUUCUUUAAAUCUUUCGCAUACAUAAUAAAAAGACUCGUCAUCCAAUUGUUGAAAAGUGGUUAUCUCAUUUUGUAACU